Molecule: transfer RNA, 73 nt
Filed under: Loxodonta africana (African savanna elephant)
Lineage: Eukaryota; Metazoa; Chordata; Mammalia; Proboscidea; Elephantidae
Rfam family: tRNA
About the family: Transfer RNA (tRNA) molecules are approximately 80 nucleotides in length. Their secondary structure includes four short double-helical elements and three loops (D, anti-codon, and T loops).
Source: Rfam by way of RNAcentral
ACCCUGGUGGCACAGUGGUUAAGUGCUAUGGCUGCUAACCAAAGGGUCGGCAGUUCGAAUCUGCUCCUUGGAA